RNAcentral lists this unclassified non-coding RNA (340 nucleotides) under soil metagenome. RNAcentral's name for it is "partial contains 5.8S ribosomal RNA, internal transcribed spacer 2, and large subunit ribosomal RNA". The stretch from base 1 to 119 matches the Rfam family "5.8S ribosomal RNA", at positions 35 to 154 of the family's 154-position model. The record is from RNAcentral.
GAUGAAGAACGUAGCGAAAUGCGAUAAGUAGUGUGAAUUGCAGAAUUCAGUGAAUCAUCGAAUCUUGAACGCACAUUGCGCCCUUUGGUAUUCCAAAGGGCAUGCCUGUUCGAGCGUCAUUUGUACCCUCAAGCUUUGCUUGGUGUUGGGCGUCUUGUCUCUAGCUUUGCUGGAGACUCGCCUUAAAGUAAUUGGCAGCCGGCCUACUGGUUUCGGAGCGCAGCACAAGUCGCACUCUCUAUCAGCAAAGGUCUAGCAUCCAUUAAGCCUUUUUUUCAACUUUUGACCUCGGAUCAGGUAGGGAUACCCGCUGAACUUAAGCAUAUCAAUAAGCGGAGGA